AGUUUAUGAUGAGGACAUUUCCUCAACAAAUCCUUAAGACUCUCACAUGCCUUAAAUAAUGAUUCAGUAUCAAUCCAACUGUGCAUAUUUUGUAAUCUCUUGAUGCAACU
Small nucleolar RNA from Dioscorea cayenensis subsp. rotundata (Guinea yam), 110 nucleotides. The record is from RefSeq and is a predicted model, not a curated record. Lineage: Eukaryota; Viridiplantae; Streptophyta; Magnoliopsida; Dioscoreales; Dioscoreaceae.